GCGUUGGUGGUAUAGUGGUGAGCAUAGCUGCCUUCCAAGCAGUUGACCUGGUUUCGAUUCCCCGCCAACACA
RNAcentral lists this transfer RNA (72 nucleotides) under Danionella translucida. It matches the Rfam family "tRNA". Rfam says of the family: Transfer RNA (tRNA) molecules are approximately 80 nucleotides in length. Their secondary structure includes four short double-helical elements and three loops (D, anti-codon, and T loops). RNAcentral also lists the same sequence under 1 other name. The record is from Rfam by way of RNAcentral. Lineage: Eukaryota; Metazoa; Chordata; Actinopteri; Cypriniformes; Danionidae.